RNAcentral lists this ribosomal RNA (468 nucleotides) under uncultured bacterium. RNAcentral describes it as "partial 16S ribosomal RNA". It matches the Rfam family "Bacterial small subunit ribosomal RNA", at positions 28 to 507 of the family's 1533-position model. The record is from RNAcentral.
GACGAACGCUGGCGGCGUGCUUAACACAUGCAAGUCGAACGGAAAGGCCCUGCUUUUGCGGGGUGCUCGAGUGGCGAACGGGUGAGUAACACGUGAGUAACCUGCCCCUGACUUUGGGAUAACUUCAGGAAACUGGGGCUAAUACCGGAUAGGAGCUCCUGCUGCAUGGUGGGGGUUGGAAAGUUUCGGCGGUUGGGGAUGGACUCGCGGCUUAUCAGCUUGUUGGUGGGGUAGUGGCUUACCAAGGCUUUGACGGGUAGCCGGCCUGAGAGGGUGACCGGCGACAUUGGGACUGAGAUACGGCCCAGACUCCUACGGGAGGCAGCAGUGGGGAAUAUUGCACAAUGGGCGGAAGCCUGAUGCAGCAACGCCGCGUGCGGGAUGACGGCCUUCGGGUUGUAAACCGCUUUCGCCUGUGACGAAGCGUGAGUGACGGUAAUGGGUAAAGAAGCACCGGCUAACUACGUG